Molecule: long non-coding RNA, 401 nt
Filed under: Cyanistes caeruleus (blue tit)
Lineage: Eukaryota; Metazoa; Chordata; Aves; Passeriformes; Paridae
Description: lncRNA (ENSCCEG00000012004.1)
Source: RNAcentral
CAAGAAAAGACCUAAAGGCUUUUAGUAAUAUCUUAAUGCAUGUCUGUGCAACCAGCACCCAGUAUGAGGUGACUCCAGUUACCCAUUGAGCUGCAGGGAUGCUCUGGGACUACAGCUGGUAACAUUGUAGGAGCACCUGUAAUCCUAAAGAUUCCAUGCACAGUGGUAAAGUUGCUGAGGAUCAUACUGAAAGUUAAGAGAAACUGGAAUUGUUUUACCCUUCAGCACAAGACCCUGUGUUGCAUUGAAGUUCUGAAGAUUCAGGGAAGGAUUUUGGCACUGGUACUUCAUGGUUUCAAGGCAGUAAUUUGAGGUAUCAGUCAUAACGGCACAUUUCCUGAAAAUUAUGAUAUUUAAGUUUGGUUCUUCUACUUGUUCUCAAAUAAUGAAUAUACUCUUUC